GGAUUGUAGUCUGCAACUCGACUACAUGAAGCUGGAAUCGCUGUAAUCGCGAAUCAGAAUGUCGCGGUGAAUACGUUCCCGGGUCUUGUACACACCGCCCGUCACACCAUGGGAGUCAGUAACGCCCGAAGUCAGUGACCCAACCAAUCAGGAGGGAGCUGCCGAAGGUGGGACCGAUAACUGGGGUGAAGUCGUAACAAGGUAGC
Molecule: ribosomal RNA, 206 nt
Filed under: uncultured bacterium
Lineage: Bacteria
Description: partial 16S ribosomal RNA
Rfam family: Bacterial small subunit ribosomal RNA
Source: RNAcentral